This 496-nucleotide ribosomal RNA is filed under the name uncultured bacterium. Its description in RNAcentral is "partial 16S ribosomal RNA". It matches the Rfam family "Bacterial small subunit ribosomal RNA", at positions 28 to 506 of the family's 1533-position model. The record is from RNAcentral.
GAUGAACGCUGGCAGCGUGCCUAAUACAUGCAAGUCGAGCGAACAGACGAGGAGCUUGCUCCUCUGACGUUAGCGGCGGACGGGUGAGUAACACGUGGAUAACCUACCUAUAAGACUGGGAUAACUUCGGGAAACCGGAGCUAAUACCGGAUAAUAUAUUGAACCGCAUGGUUCAAUAGUGAAAGACGGUUUUGCUGUCACUUAUAGAUGGAUCCGCGCCGCAUUAGCUAGUUGGUAAGGUAACGGCUUACCAAGGCAACGAUGCGUAGCCGACCUGAGAGGGUGAUCGGCCACACUGGAACUGAGACACGGUCCAGACUCCUACGGGAGGCAGCAGUAGGGAAUCUUCCGCAAUGGGCGAAAGCCUGACGGAGCAACGCCGCGUGAGUGAUGAAGGUCUUCGGAUCGUAAAACUCUGUUAUUAGGGAAGAACAAAUGUGUAAGUAACUAUGCACGUCUUGACGGUACCUAAUCAGAAAGCCACGGCUAACUACGU